GUACACUCCUGCGGGAGGCAGCAGUGGGGAAUAUUGGACAAUGGGCGCAAGCCUGAUCCAGCCAUGCCGCGUGAGUGAUGAAGGCCCUAGGGUUGUAAAGCUCUUUCACCGGUGAAGAUAAUGACGGUAACCGGAGAAGAAGCCCCGGCUAACUUCGUGCCAGCAGCCGCGGUAAUACGAAGGGGGCUAGCGUUGUUCGGAUUUACUGGGCGUAAAGCGCACGUAGGCGGACUAUUAAGUCAGGGGUGAAAUCCCGGGGCUCAACCCCGGAACUGCCUUUGAUACUGGUAGUCUUGAGUUCGAGAGAGGUGAGUGGAAUUCCGAGUGUAGAGGUGAAAUUCGUAGAUAUUCGGAGGAACACCAGUGGCGAAGGCGGCUCACUGGCUCGAUACUGACGCUGAGGUGCGAAAGCGUGGGGAGCAAACAGGAUUAGAUACCCGUGUAGUCCCAUGA
RNAcentral lists this ribosomal RNA (453 nucleotides) under uncultured organism. RNAcentral describes it as "partial 16S ribosomal RNA". It matches the Rfam family "Bacterial small subunit ribosomal RNA", at positions 331 to 800 of the family's 1533-position model. The record is from RNAcentral.